UGGUGGAGUGAUUUGUCUGCUUAAUUGCGAUAACGAACGAGACCUUGAUCUGCUAACUAGCGACGCUUACCUUCACUGGUAGGUGGCACGCUUCUUAGAGAGACUGUACGUGUUGCAACGUACGGAAGCUCGAGGCAAUAACA
RNAcentral lists this ribosomal RNA (143 nucleotides) under uncultured eukaryote. RNAcentral describes it as "partial 18S ribosomal RNA". It matches the Rfam family "Eukaryotic small subunit ribosomal RNA", at positions 1299 to 1458 of the family's 1831-position model. The record is from RNAcentral.